RNAcentral lists this ribosomal RNA (966 nucleotides) under uncultured marine bacterium. Its description in RNAcentral is "bacterial SSU rRNA". It matches the Rfam family "Bacterial small subunit ribosomal RNA", at positions 70 to 1000 of the family's 1533-position model. The record is from RNAcentral.
CAAUAAGUUUCAAUCCUUCGGGAAAGAAACUUAUUGUGAGAGCGGCGAACUGGUGAGUAAUAUAUGGGUAAUUUGCCUCUUUGUUCGGAAUAGCCAUCGGAAACGAUGAUUAAUGCCGAAUGUGUUCAGAAACUGCAUAGUUUCUUAUAUAAAGGCGGGGAUCUUCGGACCUGUCGCAAAGAGAUAAGCCCAUAUCCUAUCAGCUUGUUGGUGAGGUAAUGGCUCACCAAGGCUUACGGGUAGCUGGUCUGAGAGGAUGGUCAGCCACACUGGGACUGAGACACUGCCCAGACUCCUACGGGAGGCUGCAGUCGAGAAUCAUUGACAAUGCACGAAAGUGUGAACAUGCGACGCCGCGUGGAGGAUGACGGCCUUCGGGUUGUAAACUCCUGUCAGCAGGAAGGAAAGAUUAUAUAGUUAAUACCUAUUUAAUUUGACAGUACCUGCAGAGGAAGUCACGGCUAACUCUGUGCCAGCAGCCGCGGUAAUACAGAGGUGGCGAACGUUGUUCGGAUUUACUGGGCGUAAAGGGUCCGCAGGCGGUUUGGUAUGUCGGAUGUGAAAGCUCACAGCUCAACUGUGGAAAUGCAUUCGAAACUGCCAGACUAGAGUACUGGAGAGGGGAAGGGAACACUUGGUGUAGCGGUGAAAUGCGUAGAUAUCAAGUGGAACACCGGAGGCGAAGGCGCUUCCCUGGACAGAUACUGACGCUCAUGGACGAAAGUUAGGGUAGCGAAAGGGAUUAGAUACCCCUGUAGUCCUAACCGUAAACGGUGUGCACUAGGCGUGGGAGGCUUUACCCCCUUCCGUGCCUGAGCUAACGCAUUAAGUGCACCGCCUGGGGAGUACGAUCGCAAGAUUAAAACUCAAAGGAAUUGACGGGGACCCGCACAAGCGGUGGAGCAUGCGGCUUAAUUCGAUGCAACGCGAAGAACCUACCUGGGCUUGACAUAUAGCUGCAUACGA